Paramuricea clavata is the source of this 94-nucleotide non-coding RNA. Lineage: Eukaryota; Metazoa; Cnidaria; Anthozoa; Malacalcyonacea; Plexauridae. The record is from the annotation of a GenBank genome assembly.
UACCUCAAAAUUCCGCAACAGUCUGUUUCAUCAGUAAAGAAUCAUCAGGUGGUACGAUGAUUUUUUACUGAUGAAACAGACUGUUGCGGAAUUU